This 68-nucleotide microRNA precursor is filed under the name Medicago truncatula (barrel medic). RNAcentral describes it as "MIR2629 microRNA precursor family". It matches the Rfam family "MIR2629 microRNA precursor family". The record is from Rfam by way of RNAcentral. Lineage: Eukaryota; Viridiplantae; Streptophyta; Magnoliopsida; Fabales; Fabaceae.
AGUUCAGAUUUCCUCGGCAGUUAACUGCAGCCGAAUUUACAAAACUUCGGCAGUUAAUUGCCGAGGAG